RNAcentral lists this long non-coding RNA (3810 nucleotides) under Homo sapiens (human). RNAcentral describes it as "HSALNT0086283". Lineage: Eukaryota; Metazoa; Chordata; Mammalia; Primates; Hominidae. The record is from RNAcentral.
UUCCCCACUAUGGUGUUCUUAGCCCUCAAGCCAGAGAGUCUCAGGAUCCAUUGCCAUGUACAUUCUCCCAGCUGCUGCUAGUACAUGUUGGUGAAAUCCUGUAGUUCCUUCAGGGUAGAGUCUCUAUCCUUCCUUAGCAGACCCAGCACCUCCACAGCUGAGUUGUAUUGUGAUUAAACCCUAAUUAAUAGGCUGGGAGCCGGGAUAUGAGAUAGGGGUAGAUCCUGCAGGAGCUUCAUAUUGUCUUGCACGGAAGAGGCUUCUACAUUGUCUUCAAGCAAGGAGGGAACACAGGUCCUUUAACAGCAAGUGGUUUGCUUUUUCUGCAGGCUUAGAAGGUUCAGAAGGAUAUGGAGAUUCAAUAUUUUCUAAUGCAUUGACCCAGAUGUUCCCAUCCCAUGUCAUAAUGUACCACUCCUUCCAGUCAGGACCCUAAUCUUGGUGUCACAGACUUUCUAAUACUGAGAAUUCAACCUCAUCUGGAGUGAUAUUAUUCUUAUAAUUACACACUAGGCCCAACCCUCAGGUUUUUCUGCCUUCCAGCUGAGGAGGAGUCUUUCUAUGCUACCAGAGAUGCCCUCUGUCUUUCACACUUAGCCUUUCCUUAGUGAUUCAUGCCCCCUGCCUCCGUUUUCCAUUGUCUUACUCCAUUGCAUUAAUUGCCUCCCAGAAUAGCUAUUCAGUUCCACAGUUAAUUACUACUUCCCCUAAACUUCUCAAACACCUGUGGUAUUUCCCCUACCUCUGCAUUUUUUUCUGCAGUCCAUGGCUGGAUUCUUUUCUAUUGGUAUCCCAUCGUGUACACCAGCCAUGAAAGUUUUAAUGAAUGCACCACUGCAGUAUGACAGGGUCUACCAGUGUUUCACUCCCACAGAGGAUGCUGUCCUCAGUAGCAGUCAGCUGGCAGGUGAUCCUGAUCCAAAAUCUUAUUAUAGGAUCUGUUUCCUCAUACCAUACCUGGCACAAGCUGCCUUAGAUAUGGUCCUCCAGGAAACAUACUCUGAGAGGAGAUACACAUGUAGGAAGUUUAUUGGUGAAUGUUCUCUUGUUCUACAUGUGUGGGGGAGUGAAAACAAGAGGAUGAGGAAGAGGGAGGGAUGAACUGUAAUGUAGUUCCCACCAAGAGCUCUGGAGCUGGAAUGGCCACCUUUGAGGCAUGGUGUGCAGACCCUUAUAGCUUCAUGUUGAAGGCUAACCCCCAGGGAGGGGUGUGAUCUUGGCAAGGUGACUUCCUUCACCUGAGCGCAGUUCCUGGUGAGCAACUCAGCUGAGAGCCCUUAGCUACCAAUCCUAAAGAGAGGGCCUGGGCAGCACAGCACACACAACCAGGGAAACAAUCGCAUUGCACAAUUGAUUGCAAUUGAAAUUAUCUCUUCAAUUUCAGUGGGGAUGAAGGAAUCCAAGAUGUUAGAGAUGAUGGAGUCCAAGAAGCAGUAUUCAAUCAGAGAAUCAAGGUCAUCAUGCUACAGAUGGUCUUACAAAUGGAACCCCAAAUGAGCUCAACUAACAACUUCUACCGAGGACAGCUGGACCAACUUGCUGGCCCUUCUGCUGGCCUAAAGAGUUCACCUCUGGAGGACCCUACAACUGCAGGGCCUCUUCUUUGCCCCUAUCCAGCAGGAAGUAGCUAGAGUGGUCAUUGGCCAAAUUCCCAACAGCAGUUGGGGUGUCCUGUUUAGAGGGGGGAUUGAGAGGUGACAACGUGCUAGCAGCCCUCACUCACUCUCAGCAUCUCCUCAGCCUUGACGUCCUCUCUGGCUGCGCUCGAGGAGCCCUUCAGCCCACCGCUGCACUAUGGGGGCCCCUCUCUGGGGCUGGCCAAGGCCGGAGCUUGCUCCCUCUUCCUGCAGGGAGGUGUGGAGGGAGAGGUGCGGGUGGGAGCCGGGGCGGCACGUGGCACUUGUAGGCUGGUGCAGGUUCCAAAUGGGCAUGGGCCCAGCAGGCCCAGCACUUGGCACUACCAGCUGGCACCUGCUGUGAUUGAUUGGAGGCUGGGUCCUGUGCAUGGACCGCCAUUCCCUCUUCACGGGGUCAUUGGCCAUGGUGGCAGGUCUCCUUCUCUUUCUCACAUCUCUUCUUCUCCUUUUGGUUGUCUGGGACGAGCUAGGUGCCGCAAAGUCCCAUGGUGAGUGCUAGUGAGAGGUGAGGCCAGCUGGGCUUCUGGGAUGGGUGGGGACUUGGAGAACUUUCUGUGUAGCUAAAGCAUUAUAAAUGCACCAAUGAGCACUCUGUGUCUAGCUAAAGGUUUGUAAACACACCAAUCAGCGCUCUGUGUCUAGCUAAUCGGGUGGGGACUUCAAGAACUUUUGUGUCUAGCUAAAGGAUUGUAAAUGCACCAAUCAGCACUCUGUCAAAAUGGACCAAUCAGCUCUCUGUAAAAUGGACCAAUCAGCAGGAUGUGGGUGGGACCAGAUAAGGGAAUAAAAGCAGGCCACCUGAGCCAGCAGCAGCAACCCGCUGGGGUUCCCUUCCACACUGUGGAAGCUUUGUUCUUUCACUCUUCACAAUAAAUCUUGCUGCUGCUCACUCUUUGGGCCCAUGCUGCCUUUAUGAGCUGUAACACUCACCGGGAAGGUCUGCAGCUUCACUCCUGAAGUCAGCAAGACCAUGAACUCACCAGAAGGAAGAAACUCUGGACACAUCUGAACAUCUGAAGGAAUAAACUCCAGACACACCAUCUUUAAGAACUGUAACACUCACUGCAAGGGUCUACGGCUUCAUUCUUGAAGUCAGAGAGACCAAGAACCCACCAAUUCUGGACACAGGACCACUAAAAUAUCGCAUGAUUGCUAAAAAUAUAGAUAGCCUAAUCAAGUCAAGAAUACUUGUGUUGGCUUCCUGACACAAGGAGUGAGGACCAUUUUUGUCCUAUUUUACUCCUUAUUUUAGUAGACAGGACCAACAGGAACCUGUGUGGUUUCUACUCCCUUCCAAAACAAUAAACCAAAAGCAAUUCUCCAUUUCUAAGAAAUUACAUAGUUCAGAGCCUGUUGGGAGAAAAGCUGAGUGUUGGGAGAGAAGCUGAGGCAGGGCUUGCAUGUCUGCUAGACUUGCUGACUCCUUGCUUCUAGCACUCCCAUUAUCUCAAGUAGCCAUAUGUUUCUCAUUCACUUGAUACACCAUUUCCUUUCAACCCCCACAUCCUCACCACCUGUUUCUUUGAACACUAAUAAAUAGCGUGGACUCCCAGAGCUUGGGGCCUUCACAGCCUCCACACUCACAAUGGCCCCCUGGUCCCACUUUCUCUCUCAAACUCGUUUUCUCAUUCCUUUGACUCCACCAGACUUUGUCACCCCUAUGUCCUGGUGUUGGGUCUGAUCACCCCAACAGGAGACAUCAUGAAAUAUUUUAUUUAUACAGGGAAGGAGGAUGAUUUCUAUUACGUGUCCACCUAUAUGUCCAAUUGGCUAGAAUGAAAAAGAUCUGUAUUAGGAAAAUGAUAAUGAAUAUUUGAUUUUAAUCAGGUGGAGACAGCAUUUGUAGUGUCUAAACAGAUCUGGGCAAACCAAAUCGUCCCUGAAACCUGUUAGGCAACUAUUGAUCUAUUGUCCUCUUCAUUGUUAGCGACUUUAACUGAGCACAUUGCUUGAUGUGGGCCAAUGUGAAUAAUGAUGAGAUUUGAACAGCAAUGUUGUGUGUAGCUUCCAGAAAGGUUUAUUAAAGAAAUCAAAGUUAGCUAUUUUCCUCUUUCCUCCUUUCUGCCAGUUAGAAGGUAAACAUGAUGAUUGGAGUGCUAGAAGCUAUAUUGAACCAAAAGACAAGGACCACACCCUAAAUAUGAUGAGGCAAUAUCAGCCCUGGAUAGCCUAG